CCUACGGGUGGCUGCAGUGGGGAAUAUUGGACAAUGGGGGGAACCCUGAUCCAGCCAUGCCGCGUGUGUGAAGAAGGCCCUCGGGUUGUAAAGCACUUUCAGUGAGGAAGAACGCCUGGUGGUUAAUACCCAUCAGGAAAGACAUCACUCACAGAAGAAGCACCGGCUAACUCCGUGCCAGCAGCCGCGGUAAUACGGAGGGUGCGAGCGUUAAUCGGAAUUACUGGGCGUAAAGCGCGCGUAGGUGGCUUGAUAAGCCGGUUGUGAAAGCCCCGGGCUCAACCUGGGAACGGCAUCCGGAACUGUCAAGCUAGAGUGCAGGAGAGGAAGGUAGAAUUACCGGUGUAGCGGUGAAAUGCGUAGAGAUCGGGAGGAAUACCAGUGGCGAAGGCGGCCUUCUGGACUGACACUGAAACUGAGGUGCGAAAGCGUGGGUAGCAAACAGGAUUAGAUACCCCUGUAGUC
Molecule: ribosomal RNA, 465 nt
Filed under: Vreelandella stevensii
Lineage: Bacteria; Pseudomonadati; Pseudomonadota; Gammaproteobacteria; Oceanospirillales; Halomonadaceae
Description: partial 16S ribosomal RNA
Rfam family: Bacterial small subunit ribosomal RNA
Source: RNAcentral